CAGUCGACGCGGUAAUACGAAGGGUGCAAGCGUUAAUCGGAAUUACUGGGCGUAAAGGGUGCGUAGGCGGUUGUUUAAGUCUGCUGUGAAAUCCCCGGGCUCAACCUGGGAAUGGCAGUGGAUACUGGCUCGCUAGAGUGUGUCAGAGGAUGGUGGAAUUCCCGGUGUAGCGGUGAAAUGCGUAGAGAUCGGGAGGAACAUCAGUGGCGAAGGCGGCCAUCUGGGACAUCACUGACGCUGAGGCACGAAAGCGUGGGGAGCAAACAGGAUUAGAUACCCCCGUAGUCCCUGUCUCUUAUAC
This 301-nucleotide ribosomal RNA is filed under the name uncultured bacterium. Its description in RNAcentral is "partial 16S ribosomal RNA". It matches the Rfam family "Bacterial small subunit ribosomal RNA", at positions 509 to 807 of the family's 1533-position model. The record is from RNAcentral.